RNAcentral lists this ribosomal RNA (398 nucleotides) under uncultured bacterium. Its description in RNAcentral is "partial 16S ribosomal RNA". It matches the Rfam family "Bacterial small subunit ribosomal RNA", at positions 360 to 775 of the family's 1533-position model. The record is from RNAcentral.
AAUCUUGCGCAAUGGGCGAAAGCCUGUCGCAGCCACGCCGCGCGAAUGAUGAAGGGCCUAGGAUGGUAAAAUUCUUUCUCCGGGGACGAUAAGGACGGUACCCGGAUAAGAAGCACCGGCUAACGUCGUGCCAGCACCCGCGGUAAUACGAAGGGGGCUCGCGUUGCUCGGAAUUACUGGGCGUAAAGGGCGCGUAGGCGGACAUUUAAGUCAGGGGUGAAAUCCCAGAGCUCAACUCUGGAACUGCCUUUGAUACUGGGUGUCUUGAGUGUGAGAGAGGUAUGUGGAACUCCGAGUGUAGAGGUGAGAUUCGUAGAUAUUCGGAAGAACACCAGUGGCGAAGGCGACAUACUGGCUCAUUACUGACGCUGAGGCGCGAAAGCGUGGGGAGCAAACAG